UAACAGUCAUGUGCACAUGUUGAGGCAGUGUUCUCUUUCAUUAUCUAAAAAGUAUAUGUGGAGCUCUAGAAGGUUGCAGAGGCAGUGGGGUUCCCUCCUUUUCGAAGAAAAAUGGUGCUAGAAGGCAAUAAGAACACAAUAUUCAAUUAUUGGUGACAUUAAAAAAAAUUGACUCUCUAAUAAACGUAGCUAUGUUCUUAUUGGAUUGUGGAGUAAAUCGGUUAGCCCCAGUCGUAUCUGUUCGAGAAUAACCGUGUAGCGUUGCUGCCAUUUGUAGUUCUGCAUUAUUUGAACAGAGUGUGUUAUUUCUACUAGGUUUUAUUGAGGCCCUUCAGUUUGCAGUUAUAACUUUAAAACUUGUUGAUGUAUGUCGUUGCAUUUUUGCGUCGAUUAUCGUCGAAUAAUAUCUGCCUGGGCAGAAAACCCCACAUGGGCUGAUAAUGAUAUGUGCUUCACUGCUUGUGCAUCUCUGGCCAGCCUUGCCUUGUCUGGUGGUUGCAAACACGUGGCUCUAGUGUGCAGCUGAAGGCUUGGGUGAUGAAAGGAGAUGAUCGGUUGCUAACUGCGAUAUGUUUUGGCUAUGAACUUGGCCUGUUCCUGGGAAAACUGUUGCCAGAUACUUUCUUGUGAUCUGCUUGCUCAACCACUGUUACUUUUCUAGCUGUGGACCUGUGAGGCUGAUUACAGCAUGCCAUUCCAGUUCUAGUGUGUAGAACACAGCCUUCACCCAGAUCAUUUUAGUAUGAGGAGCUCAUUUGUGUGUGCAUGUGUGGUGGUGUGAGUUGAACCAAGAGAGAAGGUCAUGUUGUGAUCUGACAAUGGUUCAUUUCUGUGUCUGUGUGUGAAGGAUAGCCAACAAACAAUGGCAUAUUGGUGUGGCACCAAACCUGACAGCGUAUACAGUUCACAACCUGUCCAUGUUGCUGGGAACCAACCGGCUGGUUGCUUCACUUGGUCGGUUACAGUCACAGACAACCAACACUGCAUGAGUAGGCCAGAUCGUGACCGAACAUGUGUCGGCACCUCGCGUGGCCCAGAAAAGUCUCACUUGUAAGGUCUUGAUCAAAGUGACUUUCUAAGGGAGUUAUGUACUAUGAUUGACUUCUUUGUACUCCAGUAGUGUACUAUAGUAGGAGUAUUAGUAAAGUAACACCAGCAGGUUAAUGUUACUUGAUCAGGACAAUAGGUAGCAUCUGAAGAUGUUAGGUGGGGUUAUUGUGAUUAGGCCAGCAGCAUGCAGAGCAAGAUCAUUAGGGCAUCAUCAGGCAUGGGAUCAAUAAUAAGAUCCCUAAUUGGCAGAAUGGUGACCCUGAUGUGAGAGGGAGUGUGCUGUUGCAGUGUGUUGUUAAGUGCGACAUUUAUGAAGCUGGAGACUUUGGGAGGCGUCUGGUUUUCUGCUUCACGUGCUGUGUGGAGAUGUUGGUGACGGUGCCGCAAUUGAAUGGCUCCUUGAUUUAGGUAGGUUCCUGAUGGCGAUGCACCUGCAUCUACGAGGUUGGUGACAGACAACCUUUGCCAUGCUCAUCCCAUCCCAAUGCCAACAACACAAUUGCCAACACAACUUGCUUCAGUCACAAAGAAAGAUUAGAUUAACCGAAGAGCAAUGUCCAAGGAAUUGUGAUCUCAGUCAUCCUAGUGCUGUUGAUAAACAUGUAAUGCACUUGAUCCAAAGCCAAAAUUUAGAUGAUUCUGACGGAAAAACUAUUGUUUGUAGUUGGGAAUAUACUGAUGCCAAGAAGAACAAGUUGAUCAAAACAAGAGAAAGAUGAUGAAGAGGAAUACACUCUUCAGCCAAAAAGAAGUCUUGUGAGAAAAAGCAAAAUUACACAUGUAGAGUAUAUGAUAUACGUAGUAUCAACUAUGCACACACUACUGAGUAGUGACUGAUGCACCGCACCAAUAAUUUCUGCAUUGACUUCUGGAGCUCAUCUGGUGUGAUCAGAUUGACGCGGUUCUUCCGCUCCUGGAUUUCUUGACCAGGAAGAGCUUCUUGAGCAGCCUGAACAUCAGCAGCAGGCUCCACCUCCGGCGCCGGACCACCAUGUGCCUGCCACUGCCACUACGCUUCCUCGCCUCGACCACACCGCCGUCGUCGCCCUCGCCGUCGCCGUCGCUGUAGAACCACUCGGCCUCCUUCAUCAUCGUCAUCGCCAUCAGCCCGCCCCCCUUGCUCACGGGGCUGAGAGGGCACACCGGCGGCGCGCGCGCGAGCUCUUCGUUGAAGUCCUCCCACAGCAUGUCCAUCCUCUCGUCGCGGCCCCUCGGCGAGCCGCUGCUGCCGUCGUCCUCCUCCUCCGCGACGGCGGCGACGAACCACGGCGGAGGGAACGGCGCGAGCUUGCACUGCCCGCCCGGGACAGUGGGGAAAGUGAACUCAUCCAUGGUCGAGCUCGCUAGCUAGCUGCUUUCUUGCUUGCUUGCAAAGUUGCAAAUCCCUAUGGUGUAGUGGCUAGCGUGUAUGUAUCUGUCGACCGCUCGAUUCAUUUAUAUAUGGAGGUGUAGUCUGGUACUAUGAGGUACGUGUACGAUCGCGAGCGGUAGUGGUAAUGGAGGUUCCAUCAAUUUCACCUUCAUGGACGGUGGAACAUCCUCAUCUUGCAGUACUAAACUGAACUGUGCCGGGAAAAGGCAUGGUGCAUAGGAGAAGUGCAUGAAUGAAUCCGGGUACAUAUGAACCCAUUUUAAAAAACACAUUUCUAAAUGCUAAAAAAAUCUGGAAAAAAAAUUGCACGCGUACGUCUUCAUGUUCUAUGUGCGUGCAUAAAGUUUCAUGGAAAAAUAACUUUUUGUGUGGCCUGUACAAAAAAGGCAAAAAAUUAUGUCGUGAAACACUAUUUAGAAGCACUGAAAUUUGUCUUUUUUGCGAAGGCAAAACAAAAAGACAUUUUUUCAUAAAACUUUGUGCCGCGUACACACGUUUGCGAACAUGUAUGCGUGAUAUUUUCUUUUGAUUUCUUUAACAUUUAAAAACGUGCUUAAAAUGCAUUUUAUGAAAAGUGGGUGCAUAUGCCCAUGGGUUCAGAUGGUGCCCUCUCUGGUGCAUAGGUGCUAUCUGCUGUGGUUGGCCAGAGCUAAGCUUCAAGAGAUGGACGGCUAAGCAAGUGAUGAUGCGGUGAUGAUGUGCCAGGUACGGGUAACUUGCUUCCGUUCCAGGGGAUCAAGCUCUCUCCCCCCUGACGAAAGUUGACAGUAAGCUAUUGCGGGUGGGAAAAGCUGGUCAGUGGGUUGAAUCAAACACCGAAGUUGAUCAAGCUUGAACAAGUUUACAUAGAAUCAAAUUUUGGGUUCAUAAAGUAAAUUUGAUUUCUAUUGACAAUAGUAUAUAACAUUUUGAUUUUUAUAAAAUACUCAGAGAGAUGCAGUAAUGCAAACCAUCAAUAGAAAGUUCAGCAUACUGAAAGGAUGGUCGGCGAAAUUUGGUGUACUGAACCAGGACGUCUCCUGAUCUCUAGCAGUCCAACCAGUGUAACACGAUUGAUACACAACUCUUAAUCCACUAGCUCGGUAUUACCCUGGUAAUUGCCUAACUUAAACCCAAAUCAAGCAACAUUCAAGCAUUUCAACCCAUUCAAAUUGGAUUAUAUUAUAGAAAGACAGAUCUUCACAUGAUACAUGCGUGUAGAUCGACCUACCUUCUCUUACCAUGUUUCUGAUGNNNNNNNNNNNNNNNNNNNNNNNNNNNNNNNNNNNNNNNNNNNNNNNNNNNNNNNNNNNNNNNNNNNNNNNNNNNNNNNNNNNNNNNNNNNNNNNNNNNNNNNNNNNNNNNNNNNNNNNNNNNNNNNNNNNNNNNNNNNNNNNNNNNNNNNNNNNNNNNNNNNNNNNNNNNNNNNNNNNNNNNNNNNNNNNNNNNNNNNNNNNNNNNNNNNNNNNNNNNNNNNNNNNNNNNNNNNNNNNNNNNNNNNNNNNNNNNNNNNNNNNNNNNNNNNNNNNNNNNNNNNNNNNNNNNNNNNNNNNNNNNNNNNNNNNNNNNNNNNNNNNNNNNNNNNNUAUCAAGAUAUCGAAAUAAAUAUAUUGCCUGCCUCUUCCCAUCAGUUUGGACUUUCGGGGGUAAUUUACUGGAGCAUGAGUUCAAUAUGAUCUCGGGGUCAAGUGGUCUCGAGUUCCAGACUGCCAACAGAGUGUUAAAAGAAAGAUUACGCGACCUACAACAAUCCCACAUCUAAGAACUAAAUAAAUCUAGACAUGAGGGGAGUGUUAAAAUAUAUUGUCCGUCUCUCUCCAUCAGUUUGGACUUUUGGGACAGCUGGCUGGAGCAUGAAUUCAAUACAAUAUUUAAAUAGAUUUUUCUUUUGCCUCUUUGACUUAGCAAUAUGAAAAAUUUAAGAACGGGUCUUGCACACACACAUGGGCUAAAAUGACAGAUUUCUAAAUGUUUUUCCAUGUAAUCUUCAUUUUGCCCAACAGAAAAAGAAGGAAACUAGUGUCCGUGGGACAUGGCAAUGGUUGGAAAAAUCAAUACAUGGUGGAUACCUAAACACAAAUUAAGUUCAUGAUCAAGAGAUGGGUAGGUUGUAGGUAGAAUAGAAUAGCCAUGGAGGACCUGACUCCGACCUUCCUAACAGAAACUGCAAGAUGCUGGAUGCUGGACCAACCAAUCACAUGCAUGCCGAGGUGAAAAAAAAAAGCAAAGAUGAUUGGUGUUGGAUGGAAGGCUAGGGUGACUGAAAAGCAAAGGGAAGCUAACACACCAUGAAUAGUGUCACAAUGGUUUUGAAUGGAGGGAGCGGGCAUAGAUAUGCACUACGUGCUCUCUUCUGAUGGCUUUCUGCCAAAGAUGUGAAUGUUGCUUGGAAAGUGGUGUCUUUUCUGGUGAAAGAGUAAAGAUGACUGAAUGAGGUGUCUUUGGUUGUCACUGACAAGAAGGGGGGAAAGGAGACUGAAUGGAUGAGCGAUGGAAAUGUCUUGUGGUGCAUGAUGCAACAGUUUGUUUUGGAUGGAUAUGCAUUGUAUUUCUUGAAGAUUCUGGUUUGUGAAAGAGGCCAUGAUGGGAUGACAUGCUAGUCUAUUGCAUUUCAACAAAGGAUCAUCAUAGUCUCUGUCCAUGUGGAUUAUAGUUUCUGGGUGUCUAGAUCUGUACCAGAUUGAAGUCAAUGUUGUUUGAUGUAGCAAGGUGGAGACUCAAAAGCAUAAAAAUGUGUUUAAUUUAAUAGCAGUGGAAAGUAUGUAAUGGAAAUGAAAACUUCAGAACAUGUAUGGAUGAGAAUAUAUCCAGUGACAUGUAUCUUACUUUGUGUCAUCGAGUUCACACAUUUUACAUAGUAAUUCGAAUGGUUUAAAUGUUACUAGUAUGAAACUAAUUUGACAAUACCAGUGAAAUACAUAAGAUAAAAAAAUAAAGCUACUAUAUAUUUACAACAAAAAUCCAAAAAAAUCAAAAAUAUGCUUGUUGUGUUCCUCAUCUGAAUGAUUUUUUAAUACCAGUCCACUUUUGCUGGAAGAUAUAUUUUUUUAAAUGAUUUUCUCUUAACUGUUUAUACUGUCUUCUGAAAGAGUUAGAAGAUGAUACAGUAGGUGCUAUCGCGAGAGGUGCUAGCACAGGAUAUUUUAUCACAUCUCGUGGAUACCUCAUCUGAAUCACCGUCGCUUUUCAAGUUUAUCAUCUCCAACAAAAUAGAUUUGGCAACUUAGUGGGAGCAAGCUAAUCUGAUCGUUCAAAGGUUGGCUGGCUAAAAGAAGCUAGGCGAUUCUUUAUAGUAGUGGGAUCCAAUCACUAAUUGGAUAUCUCUUUUUUUGGCACUUCAAAAUCUCAAAUGUCUGUGAACAAAAAAACUUCACUUUCAAGCAAGAAAGAGAGUCCCACUCAUGGGCUGCAGGACCAGUGAGGCCCUAUGUUCAAAUUAUGUAAGACUUCGGCCGUUUUUGUAGCUGUAUUAGCAGUUGGCACAUGCCAUGGAUAACCAUAUUUAAGAUUCUCCACUGUACCACCAACAAAGUAGAGAAAUGCACUCAUCAUACUAGUACGUAUCGACCAAUAAAGGCAUGCAGGUAUCUUAAUAUGUAUAAAGGGCAUGAUGGAUCCAAUCAUUGGUGGUUUUUGUUUCUUUGAGCACUUGAAAUUGCUAAGUCUCAAUGAACAAAGACUUCAUUAUGAAGCGAGAAAAAGGAAGCCACACAUAUGGACCAUUAUUUUUUAGAUGGAAACGUAGCUGCAUCAUAGCUAUCCAAAACGAACCGCAAAUUGUUUCAUCGUUAUAACCAAAGGGACAACAAGGAACGAACUGUGACAGGUCGCAUUACAUCAAGACUCGGUGUAAAUAACCUAUUACGCCUCGACAUCCAAAGCAAGACGUAAACUUCCGUGUGAGCCGCUCCAAUUUCUUGGCUCCAUCCUCCAAAUGUUGCAUGUGAUCUGUACGAUAAUUUCUUUUUCGCGAAAUGGCCCUAUGCCAUAUAUGUGAUACAGACGAGUAAUAAAGCCUACGAUCACAACCAAUUGAUUGAUGGGUAGAGCACGUGCUUAAAAGACUUUAUGUCAAAACCAAACAAUCAUGCACAUUUCAGGCUCUCGCUCCUUGAUGUUCCCCCCGAAAAAGAUACCCUCUUACGGAAAUUAUUUAAAGACACUAAGAAAAAUCUUCAAAUUUGUAGUUUGCUUCAGGUCAUGAUCCAUAAAACUAAUUAUGUCAUGAGAAUUUGAAUAAUUAAGAUACCAUCAUUAAUAAAUUGAAACUACUUCACUAAUUUGGCCAUGUAGUUACGAAAAAAAAAAC
RNAcentral lists this long non-coding RNA (6710 nucleotides) under Triticum aestivum (bread wheat). RNAcentral's name for it is "long non-coding RNA (TAES_LNC001812)". Lineage: Eukaryota; Viridiplantae; Streptophyta; Magnoliopsida; Poales; Poaceae. The record is from RNAcentral.